AGCUCCAAUAGCGUAUAUUAAAGUUGUUGCAGUUAAAAAGCUCGUAGUUGGAUUUCUGGUGCAUUCCACUGGCCUAUUGGUUAACUCCAACUUGGCUCAUUUGGAAUACGCCAUCUUUAGGCAGACCCGUCGUGGCAUUAGGUUGUCGUGAUGGUUACGCCUAUCGUUUACUGUGAAGAAAUUAGGGUGUUCAAAGCAGGCUUAUGCCAUGAAUACGUUAGCAUGGAAUAAUGAGAUAGGAUUUCGGUACUAUUUUGUUGGUUUGUGUACGGAAAUAAUGAUUAACAGGAACAGUGUUGUGGGUAUUCGUAUUUCGUUGUCAGAGGUGAAAUUCUUGGAUUUACGAAAGACGAACGACUGCGAAAGCAUUUACCAAGGAUGUUUUCAUCA
Molecule: ribosomal RNA, 390 nt
Filed under: Leptocylindrus sp.
Lineage: Eukaryota; Bacillariophyta; Leptocylindrophyceae; Leptocylindrales; Leptocylindraceae
Description: partial small subunit ribosomal RNA
Rfam family: Eukaryotic small subunit ribosomal RNA
Source: RNAcentral